RNAcentral lists this long non-coding RNA (814 nucleotides) under Olea europaea subsp. europaea. The record is from RNAcentral. Lineage: Eukaryota; Viridiplantae; Streptophyta; Magnoliopsida; Lamiales; Oleaceae.
GUUAUAAGAUUUUGAAUUUUUACAUGAUGGAUUAUCAUCUCGACGCGGAGUUGAGACAGAUGUCAAGCAAAGCUACUAUGGAAUAGUAGCUUUGAUAGUUUCACUACUGUGUUAGAGUUGCUCGAUGAUCAGCAUGCUGAUAUGCUGCGCCAAUCCUUCCUGUGGGCCUUGUACCCGUUGAGAGAUCUGCAGUACUCAGGUCAGAUUUUUGAUGCACUUCCAUGUCGAUUGUUGAGUGCAGUCGACGGUGAUGCCCUCCAAUUCACAGUCGGGGGCAAAGUCGCCAGUUUUUCGAUGUUCGAGUUUGCUCUGAUCACGGGAUUAAAGAUUACGAACAAUGAAGCAGCGGGUGAUGAGACCCGGAGAAGAAAUAGGCUACAUGACGCUUACUUCGAGGGAUAGGGUACUGUGCUUCUUACACAGCUGUUCGACGCAAUUAGGAGGUGUGAUCAGAUGUUAGACAGACUGAAGUUAGGUCUGAUCUAUAUCCUUGAGAGCGUGAUGCGGUGUCACCACAAGAAGACUGCGAUCGACCUCUUCCAUCUGGAGAUCGUUGACGACAUCGAUCGUUUCAACAACUAUUCGUGGGAUUGGAGAUGUUUUGAAGACACCGUACACAUCUUUACCAGAUCGCACUCGAAGCCGAAGGGGGUCGUGCGUAAGUACGACACCUAUGGAUUGCCCCUGACGGUGUAGGUAAAUGGUUAAUAUAAUGAAUGUUAAAACUUUUUUCCUAUUGAAUUUGUAUAUAAUAAUUGUAUGUAUUGCAGAUCUGGACGUAUAAGAUUGUCCCCCUAUUGGGUGCCCGCUUUGC